This 291-nucleotide small nuclear RNA is filed under the name Microtus ochrogaster (prairie vole). RNAcentral's name for it is "7SK RNA (ENSMOCG00000011742.1)". It matches the Rfam family "7SK RNA". From Rfam's summary of the family: 7SK was discovered as an abundant small nuclear RNA in the mid-70s but a possible function has only recently been suggested. Two independent studies have found that 7SK RNA binds the CDK9/cyclin T complex (known as elongation factor P-TEFb). P-TEFb activates transcription by phosphorylating the C-terminal domain of RNA polymerase II. Lineage: Eukaryota; Metazoa; Chordata; Mammalia; Rodentia; Cricetidae. The record is from RNAcentral.
GGAUGUGAGGGCAACCUGGCUGCAGACAUCUGCCACCCCAUUGAUCGCCAGGGUUUAUUCAGCUAAUCUGCUGGCUAGGCAGAUGUCCCUUUCCUCCCUCACUGCUCCGUGUGUCCAUGCACGCUUGGUCGAAGACGAUGACCUUCCUCCAAAUAGAGGAGGACCUGUCUUCGGUCAAGGGUAAACAAGUAACUGUGCUCCCUGCUAGAACCUCCAAACAAGCUCUCAAGAGGUGGCAUCAAGUUAGGGUGUGGCUUUCUGGGACUUGGAGAAAAGCUGUGUGCUCUCUCU